UACGUAGGGUGCAAGCGUUGUCCGGAAUUAUUGGGCGUAAAGAGCUCGUAGGCGGUUUGUCGCGUCGAAUGUGAAAACCCGGGGCUCAACCCCGGGCCUGCAUUCGAUACGGGCAGACUAGAGUUCGGUAGGGGAGUCUGGAAUUCCUGGUGUAGCGGUGAAAUGCGCAGAUAUCAGGAGGAACACCGGUGGCGAAGGCGGGACUCUGGGCCGUUACUGACGCUGAGGAGCGAAAGCGUGGGGAGCAAACAGG
Molecule: ribosomal RNA, 253 nt
Filed under: uncultured bacterium
Lineage: Bacteria
Description: partial 16S ribosomal RNA
Rfam family: Bacterial small subunit ribosomal RNA
Source: RNAcentral